GAUGAACGCUGGCGGCGUGCCUAAUACAUGCAAGUCGAGCGAACGGACGAGAAGCUUGCUUCUCUGAUGUUAGCGGCGGACGGGUGAGUAACACGUGGAUAACCUACCUAUAAGACUGGGAUAACUUCGGGAAACCGGAGCUAAUACCGGAUAAUAUUUUGAACCGCAUGGUUCAAAAGUGAAAGACGGUCUUGCUGUCACUUAUAGAUGGAUCCGCGCUGCAUUAGCUAGUUGGUAAGGUAACGGCUUACCAAGGCAACGAUGCAUAGCCGACCUGAGAGGGUGAUCGGCCACACUGGAACUGAGACACGGUCCAGACUCCUACGGGAGGCAGCAGUAGGGAAUCUUCCGCAAUGGGCGAAAGCCUGACGGAGCAACGCCGCGUGAGUGAUGAAGGUCUUCGGAUCGUAAAACUCUGUUAUUAGGGAAGAACAUAUGUGUAAGUAACUGUGCACAUCUUGACGGUACCUAAUCAGAAAGCCACGGCUAACUACGUGCCAGCAGCCGCGGUAAUACGUAGGUGGCAAGCGUUAUCCGGAAUUAUUGGGCGUAAAGCGCGCGUAGGCGGUUUUUUAAGUCUGAUGUGAAAGCCCACGGCUCAACCGUGGAGGGUCAUUGGAAACUGGAAAACUUGAGUGCAGAAGAGGAAAGUGGAAUUCCAUGUGUAGCGGUGAAAUGCGCAGAGAUAUGGAGGAACACCAGUGGCGAAGGCGACUUUCUGGUCUGUAACUGACGCUGAUGUGCGAAAGCGUGGGGAUCAAACAGGAUUAGAUACCCUGGUAGUCCACGCCGUAAACGAUGAGUGCUAAGUGUUAGGGGGUUUCCGCCCCUUAGUGCUGCAGCUAACGCAUUAAGCACUCCGCCUGGGGAGUACGACCGCAAGGUUGAAACUCAAAGGAAUUGACGGGGACCCGCACAAGCGGUGGAGCAUGUGGUUUAAUUCGAAGCAACGCGAAGAACCUUACCAAAUCUUGACAUCCUUUGACAACUCUAGAGAUAGAGCCUUCCCCUUCGGGGGACAAAGUGACAGGUGGUGCAUGGUUGUCGUCAGCUCGUGUCGUGAGAUGUUGGGUUAAGUCCCGCAACGAGCGCAACCCUUAAGCUUAGUUGCCAUCAUUAAGUUGGGCACUCUAAGUUGACUGCCGGUGACAAACCGGAGGAAGGUGGGGAUGACGUCAAAUCAUCAUGCCCCUUAUGAUUUGGGCUACACACGUGCUACAAUGAACAAUACAAAGGGUAGCGAAACCGCGAGGUCAAGCAAAUCCCAUAAAGUUGUUCUCAGUUCGGAUUGUAGUCUGCAACUCGACUACAUGAAGCUGGAAUCGCUAGUAAUCGUAGAUCAGCAUGCUACGGUGAAUACGUUCCCGGGUCU
Molecule: ribosomal RNA, 1372 nt
Filed under: uncultured bacterium
Lineage: Bacteria
Description: bacterial SSU rRNA
Rfam family: Bacterial small subunit ribosomal RNA
Source: RNAcentral